AGUUUAGUAGCUCAGUUGGUAGAGCAUGAGACUCUUAAACUUAGGGUCAUGGCUUUGAGCCCCACAUUGACCA
Molecule: transfer RNA, 73 nt
Filed under: Podarcis lilfordi (Lilford's wall lizard)
Lineage: Eukaryota; Metazoa; Chordata; Lepidosauria; Squamata; Lacertidae
Rfam family: tRNA
About the family: Transfer RNA (tRNA) molecules are approximately 80 nucleotides in length. Their secondary structure includes four short double-helical elements and three loops (D, anti-codon, and T loops).
Source: Rfam by way of RNAcentral